Molecule: long non-coding RNA, 1070 nt
Filed under: Struthio camelus australis
Lineage: Eukaryota; Metazoa; Chordata; Aves; Struthioniformes; Struthionidae
Description: lncRNA (ENSSCUG00000010721.1)
Source: RNAcentral
CUCCUGGGGACACAGAACACAGCACAUUGUAACUACAGCAAUAGACUCAACUGCGAAAGAUCUCUAUCAGGCAUCACAGAGAAUCUGAGGCAGCUGGCAGUUAUCAGCUGAAGCAGAUCUUUGAUUGAAAAUGACUGUGGACAAUUCACUAAUGGUGGCAGAAAUGACAAGAGAAUUUGCAGCUGGCAGGUUUACAAAACAAAAUCAAAAACCCCAAAGAACAAGCAAAGUAUGUGGAUGUACUUAUGAGCACUGUACCAAAAUGUUUUUGAAGUUUACUCGGAGCAGUUGCAGAAGGAUCUAGUGACGGGUUCAUAAAAUGGCAGAUGAAAUUCAGUACCAAUAACUACAAAGUAAUGCACAUGGAAAGAAAAACAGUCGUAAUUAUACAAGCACACUGGCAUGCUUCAGUGUGACUAUUUCCAUUUGGAAAGAGAUCUUGUGGGCUUUUUGGUUAGUUCUCUGACAGCCUGAACUUGAUGCUCAGUAGCAGUUAUAAAACAGUUGCACUAAUAUAAAUUAUUAGGAAAAGAAUGAAGAGCAAAACAGAAAACAUAAUUAUACCAUUGUAUAAAACUGAAGUGCUGGCAAAGCUUAAAUAUUUCGUGAAUUUCUGGAAAUUCAAACACUCAAACCCCCUUAAACCUGGAGAAAGUACGGAGAGGGAUGUGUACUAUGAUGAGAGAUAUCUGAAGGACACUGUAUUCAACAUUCUGAUUAAAAACAAGAGUGAUUACAGGAUGCCUUACCAUCUCACAGUUACUAGAGAUGCUAAGGAGGAAUUGCUGAGAGAAGAUAAACAGGUUUUCCCUCUCCCAGGUGAGUGCACUUAUCACUGGUUUAUAGUUUACUUUUUUUUUUUUUUUUUUUUUUUUUUUUUUUUUUUUUUUUUAAAGUAUAUUGCCCUGACUCCCCCCUGCCCCCUUUUGUCUGCACAGAAGCUCUGUUACAAAGGACAGCAAAUAGAGCACAUUACUGGAGAAUCCUACACUUGCCUCUGUACUGGGUACUAUAGGAUCGAAGUUUUUGGGUCUGAAGAGAGUGGUGAACUCUUUUCUCCAACAUCCUAA